GCCAGCAAGAGGAAACUUGGGCUUGGAGAUACUCCCAAGAGUUCAACUGGUGGAAUCUGGCUUUCCAGGGUCAGAAAAAUUGUAACCUCAGACCCCUUGUCUUUUACAGUACAUCCUGCAAAUGUAGCUGUCACCAAUGGAAGGGAGCAGUUCAGAUGGCUUGCUUUGGGACGAAGACCUCAUUUAAGGUCACCUGAGGAAAAAGAACAUCAUACCCUUCCCGCCUGUGCCGACAACGCCUUUGUUCGUAUACUUCUUCCUUGGUUCGGUCGUAUUCCCUAAGCAUCAGCUCCACAGCAUUCUAUCCGCAUCCUCGUACUUUCCUACUUCCCCUUUCUGUAAUUUACUUUAAUGCCUGCCUCACCCUGUAGACUGUAAACUCUUUGAGGGCAGGGAUCGUGUCUAUCAGCUCUGGUUUUUUUGGACUUUCCCAAGCCCUUGGUAAAGUGCCCUGCACACAGUAAGGCGCCAUAAAUCCCGCCGAUGGAUUGACGUGUGCGCUGCGCUGAUGCCGAUAAGUCACCACAACCGUGCCGUGCAAAAACCAGGAGGCAGCAUAGCAAAGACACAACUGGGAAAGGUGCGUUGAUCCGGUUUCAUGGAGGUGGGUGCCAUAUUUUAAGAGGGGCUGCCGUCCUUUCUGGAAAAUGCGGCGCUGUAAUCCAGUCCCCUAGACGGUAAGCUCACUGUGGGCAGGGAACGCGUCUGCUUAUUGUGAUAUUGUACUCUCCCAAGCACGGUGUCCUGCACACGAUAAGCGCUCCAUAAAUACGACUGAUGGAUCCGUAUUUGAUU
This 795-nucleotide long non-coding RNA is filed under the name Ornithorhynchus anatinus (platypus). RNAcentral describes it as "lncRNA (ENSOANG00000035212.2)". Lineage: Eukaryota; Metazoa; Chordata; Mammalia; Monotremata; Ornithorhynchidae. The record is from RNAcentral.